Molecule: long non-coding RNA, 2291 nt
Organism: Salvia miltiorrhiza (redroot sage)
Lineage: Eukaryota; Viridiplantae; Streptophyta; Magnoliopsida; Lamiales; Lamiaceae
Exons: 3
Source: RefSeq, a predicted model, not a curated record
UUUCUAUUUAUGUUUAUGAUUAGUAUUAUUAUUAUUAAGCUAACCAGUGCAGGUUUAAUUGGAGAUUUGGGAUAAUAAAAGAAAUAAUAGAACUUCCGGCGUAGUCAAGCAAGCAUAGGCGAUUCAGACCAAGGUCAAUGUAUUAAAGGGGCUUAAGCCCAAUUAUCUUAGUAAAUGGGCUUGAGGCCCUAGGGCUUAUUUACAUGCUUAUAAAUAGAGACUUAGGAGUGGGUUAGAGGAGGAUCAUCUGAUUAUUCAUUCAUCUUUUGUAAAAUGUAAUACUCUCUCGAUUAUAGUGGAAAACCACCAAAACCCCGUGGACGUAGGUCUUCUGGACCGAACCACGUAAAUCCGUGUCAUUUACUGCUUUUUAGUUUAGGUGUUGGUUUAUCGUUUCUCCAACUGGCGCCGUCUGUGGGAAAGGAUCGGAGCUAUGUCGUGAGUUCCGACGAGCUUACAAAAAAAAAAUUGGAGAUUCACUGUUCAUCACCGAUUACUGUUCAUCGGAGAGAAAUUGGGGAAAUUAGGGACGUGGGUUACUGUUCAUUGAGGCUAGAUUACUGUUCAUCCGAAAUAAUUGAAAAAUGGGAGCAAGCUUUCUCACUUUUCUGGGCAAAAAAUUUCCGGCGAGAUUCCUCCUUUUCCUUCCGAUUGGGAUUUUAUGUGCUUCUAUUUUUCCGAUUUCCGGCGACAAUGGUCGUCUAUCUCUCUUCUCCAUAAUUCUCCGGCAGCCGUUGCCACCUCAGGACUCCAGCGUAUGCCGCCGCCGGGCACAGAUCCAGCCUUCUUCAUCCUAAUUCCAGAUCGAAGUCAGCCUCCCUCUAUCUGGGUCAGCCAGCUUCGGGACACCUCAUCUGAGUUAGCGAUUGGCGCCUCUUCGCCGCCCUCAACCCUCUCUGCUUGAGGCCAGAUUCGGUGCUAUAGCCGUUGGCCCCUGGAUCUGAGCAUCCGGCGGCGGAGAUCCGCCUCCACUACUAACGAUUGCCGCAAAUCUGAAUUCCGACGCAGUUCUAGGGAGAAGCUCCCGCAGCCAUGACCCUUUCUUUAUUUUUCUCAUUUAACGUUUUAUCUCUACUGAUUAAUUAUUCUCAUUCUCGUAGAAAUCCAGAAGCACCAAAUCAUGCAACAUCUAUCUCCAAAUCACCUCCGCAGCUGAUGAAUUAUCAUUCCUCCGCAGUCGCGCGAAGCUCGAUCUAACCUCUUCAGUCACGCCAUUCUCUCAUCUCUCACGAUGUAGUCGCAGAUCAAAAGCCACGACCGAUAGCCGCCUUGCGGUUGGGGAAUAAAGCCUUACAGAGAUCGAGGGGAGAGAGACAUGGAUGGAAUACGUUGAGGGGAAAUCUAACGCCUGCAGCCUAGCAACACAAGUCUGGAGAUAAAUCUUUGCUGUUGAACCCAUGACUGAUCUGCGGGUGGUGUAAUCAUACCGGAGCAGCGACAACCGAAAGGAGCAGAUGCAGUUUAAUUCAAUCUAAUAGGGAAGACUUCCAUUUAUGACAGCACAUCUCAAUCAAUUUGAUGGAGGGCUUAUUUCUUUCAAUCAUUUUAUUCAUGUUGCUUACAGUCUCUUUGAUUUCGCUUGAUUUCCUAAAGGAAUUACAUAUCGAACGAUUGUAGCCCGGCAAAGUACUCAGAAGGCGACGCUGAUAUAGGGACGCUCUGUGAAGUGAGGCAGUGGUUGCUGCAUUUGUUUAUUUCCACUUGGAGGGGAUUCAUCACGAACAGAGUUUGGUUCUUGAAGAAUUUUGGGGAUAAGUGCUGGAAGCGGGGUCGAGGAAUUAGAAAGGCAGCAACCCAGCACCGACUGGAGCCCAGCUACCGCUGGAACUGGAGCUGGAGCCCAUCAACCGCUGAGAUGCUUGAUACUCAAAGCACCAAUGCUCGUUGGUUUCGAGCGAGCGCUGGAUAGAAGAGAGGUGAAAGAAUCCACACAAAUCUCGUGUGAUGAGAUAAUUCAAUCAGUAUCACCGGAUGUUCUUGGCGGGUCAGGUACAAUGGAAAGCACUAUUCUUUCAUUGUUUUUGGCGGGUUUGGUACAACGAGAAGUACAGUCUCGAGAGAAUUUUUAGCAGCAUAUUUCACUUGGUGUUUAACACGACUUUUUUGGAUAUAUCCCAAAUUAUAUCUCCAGUAUGCACAAAUUAUUGAUGGAUUAUUAUUAUAGAUUUAUUAUAUUAUCUUUAUUGGAGUUCUAUUCAAGAUAUAACUCUUAUAGGGUUCACCUAUUUAAGGAGAAGGAGGCGAACAUUUUUGGUUGUUGCUUUCAUUGUUAUUCUCCUAAUUUGGCAAAA